UGUUUGUGUGGUUUGAGGUAAAGUGAAGAGGAGCGACCUUCGUUGUCCCUGAUAUAACACCGAGUGGUUCGGUCGGUAAGGUGAGCCCAUGCCACGUAGAUCUGAGGCUUUUUCAUGAGACAAUUAGAAGCACUGUCU
This is a long non-coding RNA of Sphaeramia orbicularis (orbiculate cardinalfish), 138 nucleotides long. RefSeq lists it as uncharacterized. NCBI's taxonomy places the organism in Eukaryota, Metazoa, Chordata, Actinopteri, Kurtiformes, Apogonidae. The transcript has 3 exons. The record is from RefSeq and is a predicted model, not a curated record.